UCAUUUUUUUGGAAUGUUUAUUUUUUCUGCAAUUCGAAAUUUGUUUUUUCCUAUUAGUCCUGUCUGUCUAAAUUAUCGUAACAGCAGAGAAGGCGGAGGGAGGCCCCAUAUGAAAGGCUUGCGAGACAAGGAAAGCCUUAAUUUAUAUAAGAAAAUCCUGUUAAUUGGUAUAAUGAAAGGGACUGAGAACCAUGAAAAAUUAUGUAAUGAACCGAAGGAAAAAUAUUGUAUAA
This 233-nucleotide non-coding RNA is filed under the name Tetraselmis striata. The record is from RNAcentral. Lineage: Eukaryota; Viridiplantae; Chlorophyta; Chlorodendrophyceae; Chlorodendrales; Chlorodendraceae.